Gossypium hirsutum (cotton) is the source of this 107-nucleotide non-coding RNA. NCBI's taxonomy places the organism in Eukaryota, Viridiplantae, Streptophyta, Magnoliopsida, Malvales, Malvaceae. The record is from Rfam.
AACCCAUGAUGAGGACACAUUCUCAAAAGAUCCUUCUAUCUCUCUCAUGCAUUAUAUAAUGUCUCCAACUUAAUUUGAGCAAAAUAAGAAAUGUCGUUCCUCAACUU